Molecule: ribosomal RNA, 482 nt
Filed under: uncultured bacterium
Lineage: Bacteria
Description: partial 16S ribosomal RNA
Rfam family: Bacterial small subunit ribosomal RNA
Source: RNAcentral
AUUGAACGCUGGCGGCAUGCUUUACACAUGCAAGUCGAACGGUAACAGGCCGCAAGGUGCUGACGAGUGGCGAACGGGUGAGUAAUGCAUCGGAACGUGCCCAGUCGUGGGGGAUAACUACUCGAAAGAGUAGCUAAUACCGCAUACGAUCUAUGGAUGAAAGCGGGGGACCGUAAGGCCUCGCGCGAUUGGAGCGGCCGAUGUCAGAUUAGGUAGUUGGUGGGGUAAAGGCUCACCAAGCCAACGAUCUGUAGCUGGUCUGAGAGGACAACCAGCCACACUGGGACUGAGACACGGCCCAGACUCCUACGGGAGGCAGCAGUGGGGAAUUUUGGACAAUGGGCGCAAGCCUGAUCCAGCAAUGCCGCGUGCAGGAAGAAGGCCUUCGGGUUGUAAACUACUUUUGUACGGAACGAAACGGCUCUGGUUAAUACCCGGGGCUAAUGACGGUACCGUAAGAAUAAGCACCGGCUAACUACGUG